UACAGAGACUGCAAGCGUUAUUCGGAUUCACUGGGCGUAAAGGGUGCGCAGGCGGCCGUGUGUGUUAGGUGUGAAAGCCCGGGGCUUAACCCCGGAAUUGCGCCUAAAACUACAUGGCUAGAGCAUUGGAGAGGGUAGCGGAAUUCACGGUGUAGCAGUGAAAUGCGUAGAUAUCGUGAGGAACACCAGAGGCGAAGGCGGCUACCUGGACAAUUGCUGACGCUCAGGCACGAAAGCGUGGGGAGCAAAA
Molecule: ribosomal RNA, 250 nt
Filed under: uncultured bacterium
Lineage: Bacteria
Description: partial 16S ribosomal RNA
Rfam family: Bacterial small subunit ribosomal RNA
Source: RNAcentral